CCAAUAGCGUAUAUUAAAGUUGUUGCAGUUAAAAAGCUCGUAGUUGAAUUUCGGGAUCAAGUCGUCGGUCGUGCCUCGGUACGCACUGGUGACAUUGGUUUCUCCCUUCUGAAGAACCUUGAUGUCAUUAAUUUGGUGUCUUGGGGAAUCAGGACUGUUACUUUGAAAAAAUUAGAGUGUUUAAAGCAGGCUCACGCUUGAAUACAUUAGCAUGGAAUAAUGAAAUAGGACGUUUGAUUCUAUUUUGUUGGUUUCUAGGAUCGACGUAAUGAUUAAUAGGGAUAGUUGGGGGCAUUAGUAUUAAAUUGUCAGAGGUGAAAUUCUUGGAUUUAUUGAAGACUAACUACUGCGAAAGCAUUUGCCAAGGAUGUUUUCAUUAAUCAAGAACGAAAGUUAGGGGAUCGAAGACGAUCAGAUACCGUCGUAGUCUUAACCAUAAACUAUGCCGACUAGGGAUCGGAUGAUGUUAAUUUUUUAAUGACUCAUUCGGCGCCUUACG
This 499-nucleotide unclassified non-coding RNA is filed under the name uncultured Glomus. RNAcentral describes it as "SSU rRNA". It matches the Rfam family "Eukaryotic small subunit ribosomal RNA", at positions 591 to 1092 of the family's 1831-position model. The record is from RNAcentral. Lineage: Eukaryota; Fungi; Glomeromycota; Glomeromycetes; Glomerales; Glomeraceae.